This 78-nucleotide transfer RNA is filed under the name Rhodococcus sp. SC4. RNAcentral's name for it is "tRNA-Pro". It matches the Rfam family "tRNA". From Rfam's summary of the family: Transfer RNA (tRNA) molecules are approximately 80 nucleotides in length. Their secondary structure includes four short double-helical elements and three loops (D, anti-codon, and T loops). Lineage: Bacteria; Bacillati; Actinomycetota; Actinomycetes; Mycobacteriales; Nocardiaceae. The record is from RNAcentral.
GAUGGAGUUACAGCUCAGUCGGUGAGAGCCGUGGACUCGGAAUCGGUGGUCGCGGGUUCGAGCCCACCGCCUCCAUCG